CCCAAUCUCUUGGCUAACCCGUAGGUUUCGUCCUCAACAAACUCACCACCCAAAAUCCUAUUAACCGGAGAGAUACCCGCUACAACCCGAUAGGACCGUCCUCUGGGGAGAUACCCGCUACAACCCAGUGAUGUCGACUCCGGAGCACAUCGCCCGAGGGGGAGCUACCACCCUCGAGCAAGGACUAAAGGUGAGUACGAUCAAUCCUACAUUGAGGAUUCCAAGUUCAAUCCAUUCCUUAACUUUAAAGAAGACCAUGCUCAAUGACCCUUAACUCUAAGAUUGCAAUGUCAUAAUAUCUCAAUCAUUCUUUUCUUUGCAUUCUUUACCAACACUAGUGUCAUAUACACUACCAAGUUCUUGUACUCAUGCCACACUUGUUUUCUAAGUGCUAUAUUCUUGUUCUCAUGCCAAAUGCCACACUUAUUUUUCUAAGUAUUCUAGACUCAUCAAUGUCACUCGCUAGAUCUAUGUCCAUGUGUCACUUUUGUUCACUAACCCUUCUAGGUUCUUGUCACUUGUCAUCCAUAAAUAGGGUUAUAAUUCUCACAUUCUUACAAGUAUUUCAUACGAAAUUAAACUCACGAUCAUGCAUAAAUAGGGAGAGGUGUGUGUGUGUGAAUGGCUGUAGAGGGAGAGGGGGUUGGGUAUAUAAGGUGUUGUAACAUUUACAACAAGACCCCUCCACUUUAUUCCCUGUGCACUGCCCAAACUGGGCAUUUUUCGCAGUGAGGGACCGGUCUCCCCGACCUGGGACCGGUCCCCGAGAGCUCCGCCCGCGAACUGCGCAGGCUGCGCGCGAUGCAACCGGUCUCCCUCGAUGGGACCGGUCUCUGGGGGACCGGUCUCUGCUCGCAAGGACCGGUUCCCAAGAGCUGAUUUUCCAGGACUUAGCCAAUUUCUCAGCCACCUCGCUGCCUACGCGUUCGGGGACCAGUCUCUCCCACCAGGGACCGGUCCCCGAGAGCACAAAACCCGCAGUGUGCAGAUUUUGAUUUCUAAAGCUCUCGAAGAUCCCCAGUAAUGUAUUUUAGCAUUAUUUGACGCCUUCGGCCUCUCCGAAGUGUACCAACCUCGCACUUUGGUCAAUUUGACCAAGGUUUGAAUUUAAUCACCGAGGUUUCGGUAUGUUACAUUCUCCACCCCUUAAAUUUAGUUUCAUCCGCGAAACUUACUUAAUUUAGACUUAAACUCAUACCUCAAUUCAGCUCGUUAAAGAGCUGAGGAUAAUGCUCCCGCAUUGCGCUCUCAAGCUCCCAAGUGGCUUCCCGAUCAUCGUGAUUGCACCAACGAAUCUUAACAUACGGAAUCUCGCGAUUUCGUAGUUUUUUUACUUCUCGAUCGAUGAUGUAUGCCGGGAACUCCUCAUAGGUCAUGUCCUCUUGGAUCUCAGACGAUUCAAACGACAAGAUAUGCUCGGGGUCGUGAACGUACUUGCGGAGAUUCGAUACAUGAAACACGUCGUGUACUCCCGCAAGCCUCGGUGGUAAUGCUAUCUUGUACGCCACCGCACCUACCCGCUCCAAUACUUCGAACGGUCCAAGGUAUCGAGGACUUAGCUUUCCACGGAGCCCAAACCAUCUAAUUCCUCGCAUCGGCGAUACUUUUAGAAAGACGUGGUCGCCAACUGCAAACUCUAUGUCUUUUCUCUGCUUGUCGGCAUAGCUCUUUUGCCGGGAUUGCGCCGUAGCCAGCCGCUGGCGGGCGAGGCGAACCUUCUCCUCCGCUUCCCGCACUACAUCGGGGCCGAGAGCUGCUCUCUCACCCACAUUGCUCCAAUGGAUUGGAGAGCAACAUUUCUUUCCAUAAAGGGCCUCGAAUGGCGCCAUCGCGAUACUCUCUUGAUAGCUGUUAUUGUACGCGAACUCCGCCAUUGGUAGAUGAUCGUGCCAACUGCCCUUGUAGUCCAAUACACACGCUCGGAGCAUAUUCUCAAGUAUUUGUAUCGUCCUUUCCGAUUAACCAUCACUUUGAGGAUGAAAUGCUAUGCUAAAGUCGAGCCGUGUGCCCAAGGCCUCCUGUAGGCUUCUCCAAAAAUGAGAUGUGAACCUCGGGUCCCGAUCUGAUACGAUAGACACCAGUACCCCGUGAAGUCUCAUAACCUUGUCGAUGUAUAGUUGAGCCAACUUGUCCCCCGACCAAGUAAUAUGAAUCGGUAGGAAAUGCGCCGACUUCGUCAACCGGUCUACUAUCACCCAAAUUACGUCGUGUCCACCUUGAGAUCGAGGCAAUCCGGUCACGAAGUCCAUUGCGAUAUUUUUCCAUUUCCAAACGGGUAUAGGUAAACUUUGCAACUUCCCCGUCGAAAAACGCCGCUCCGCUUUUACUUGUUGGCAAGUAAGACAUUGCGCAACAAACUCCCCAAUGUCUUUCUUCAUGCCCGGUCACUAAUAAUGCAGUUUCAAAUCUUGGUACAUUUUGGUGCCGCCCGGGUGUAUACUAUAAGGCGAUUGAUGCGCUUCUUGCAUAAUCGCCCUGCGGGUGUCCUUGUUCUUAGGCACGCACCAACGGUUUCUAAACCGGAGUGCACCGUCGGUCCCAAUGCCAAAAUCAUCGGCACUACCGCUCUCAACUUCACCAUGCACCUUUUGGAGAUAAUCAUCGGAAGCUUGCAGCUCUUUUAUCCUCUCCAGCAAGGUCGGUUGCACCACUAACGCGGUAAGUGUAUCUGGCACUCCCGGCUCCACUACUUCCAAUCCAAGCCAUUGCAUCUCCUUUUGUAACAACGGUUAGGGUGUAAUUGCCGAUGCCAAAUUUUCUCCCGAUUUUCUACUAAGUGCAUCGGCCACCACAUUUGCUUUCCCGGGGUGGUAUAGAAUAAUAACAUCAUAGUCUUUCAACAAUUCUAACCACCAUCGCUGCCGUAUAUUUAGCUCCUUUUGGGUGAACAAGUAUUUAAGGCUCUUGUGGUCCGUGUAGAUCUCACAAUGUUCCCCAUAUAGGUAAUGCCUCCAUAAUUUUAGCGCGAAAAUAACCGCCGCUAACUCCAGAUCGUGGAUCGGGUAGUUUUUCUCAUACGUCUUCAAUUGGCGCGAAGCAUACGCUAUAACUCGGCCGUUUUGCAUCAAGACAUACCCGAGUCCUACGUAGAAAGCAUCACUAUAAACCACAAAGGUCUCCCCCGGCGUCGGUAGAGCAAGCACUAGGGUCGUGGUCAAUUUUUCUUUUAGUUCCUCGAAGCUCCGCUCGCAUUCGGGGCUCCAAACAUACUUCACCCCUUUGUGCGUAAGACGCGUUAGUGUAGUAGUUAUUUUAGCAAACCCCUCUACGAACCGCCGGUAAUAGCCCGCUAGCCCAAGGAAACUGCGGACCUCCGAUACGCUCGUUGAUCGAGGCCAAUCUCUAAUUGCCUCAACUUGCUUCGGGUCCACCGAGAUACCAUUGCCCGAAAUUACAUGACCAAGGAAAGUGACCUCCGAUAGCCAAAAGUCGCAUUUCUUCGACUUGGCAUAUAACUUCUCUUUUCGGAGUAUUUCCAACACGGUCCUUAAGUGCUCCUCGUGUUGUUCCUCGGUCCGAGAAUAUACCAAUACGUCGUCAAUGAAUACCACGACGCAACGGUCCAAUAGCGGACGGAAGACCCUAUUCAUUAAGUCCAUAAAUGCCGCCGGGGCGUUAGUAAGCCCAAACGGCAUCACCGUGAACUCAUAAUGGCCAUACCGCGUACAGUACGCCGUCUUGUGCACAUCCUCGGGCCGUAUCUUCAACUGAUGAUACCCCGACUGAAGGUCUAUCUUCGAGUACACCCUCAACCCUUGCAAUUGAUCGAAUAAAUCGUCAAUCCUCGGCAAUGGGUACUUGUUCUUCACUGUGACCUUAUUCAACUCGCGGUAGUCCACGCAGAGUCGAAGUGUGCCAUCUUUCUUUUUAACAAAUAGCACCGGAGCUCCCCACGGUGACACGCUUGGCCUCACGAAGCCUUUGUCGAGCAAGUCUUGCAACUGUGCCUUAAGCUCUUUUAGCUCCGCGGGUGCCAUUCUAUACGGGGCCUUCGAAAUUGGAGCCGCCCCGGGUACCAAGUCAAUAAUGAACUCGAUUUCCCAGUCCGGUGGCAAACCCGGUAACUCCACCGAAAAUACGUCCGGAAACUCACACGCCACCCGAAUACCACUAAGUUCCGAGCGCUCCUUCGGGGCUUCUACCACUGUCGCCAAAUAGGUUUCACAACCACCUCUUAUCAUUUUCCUCGCCCGUGCCACCAACACGGUCGCCGCGAAGAGCGAGCUUUUAGCUGCCCGAUACACUAGCUCCUCUCGAUUAGGCUCACGAAACGUGAUUACCUUACUUUCGAAAUCUAUCACAGCAUAAUACUUGGAGAGCCAGUUGGUCCCCAAGAUCACGUCGAAACCCCACAUUCGAUUCAACACCAACAGGUCGAUCGGCAUAACCCAAUCACCUAUCUGCACUGGGCACGCUACACACUCUUCGUGAAUAUGGAAAGUAUGCUAGACCGAAUUCACCGUCCAAUAGUCAUAAUGAUGCACAAUCUUAAUGCCAUGAGCCCUAGCGAAUGAUGCAUCUAUGAAUGAAUGUGAUGCACUAGUGUUGAAGAAAGCUCUAGCUCUAGUGCCUCUGAUUGAGAUAAUACCUGCCACGAUGUCGUCGGAAACAGGAAUCGGCUCCUCUUCCACCUGAGUGCAAAAACCCGUCCACUCGGUGCUCUCGAUGCCUCCGGCUGACGCGAUGAAGACAAGCGUCCAGCCGAUAUAGCCGGCGGUAAUCCCGCCUGCUGCCUCGGGGUAUAAGGGACUGAUGCCGAGGUCGAUGCAGAUGAACUCCAGCUAGGGCACUCUCGUGACACAUGCCCAGGUUGGCCACACUUAAAGCAUUUUCCCUCCCGCUGCGGGCACGACGGCGGUUGAUGGUUGCCGCCGCAAAUAACACAACGGGAUGGUCUCCAACCCCUCGACUGCUGUCAGGGAUACCGAGGGGGUUUCUUAGCAUUUGGCCGGCCCUCGGUACCACCCGCUGUCCGCUUCUUGCUCUUCUCCCUUGCCUCGGCUGCGGACUCACGCUCCUCGCGCUCAUGGGCAUAACCAUGCUCCGCCGACAAAGCCCGAUCAAAGACCUCCGCAAAGGUCGUGAGCUUGAGGAUCUGCACGGCCCUAUGAAUCCCUGGCCGCAAUCCUCGUAGGAACCAGUCCGCUCGGUCCCGGUCAUCCCUGACAACAUCCGGAACGCAGUGAAUGAGGUGGGAGAACUCCUGCUCGUAGUCUGCCACCGAGCGAUCCUCUUGCCUCAACUUGCGGAAUUUCUCUUGCAACUUCCGCUUCACCGUAUCGGGGAAGUAGUUGGCGAACACCGCCCUCCGAAACUCCUCCCACAACAUAGGCGGAAGAUCGGGCGACCGAUCUCGCCUAACAAGCUUCCACCACACCUUCGCCGCCUUCUCAAGGCAAUGUGUGGCGAGGUACACCUUGUCCUUCUCCAAGGUGUUAAGGUCCUCGUAAAGUGUCUCUAUGGAGUCGAUCCAGGACUCCACCACCGCCGGUUCCACCACUCCCCCUUCGAAGGUAGGUGGGUUGAACUUCUGAAACUGAAUGAGAGCCGCCAACGCGCGCUCCCGCUCCGCCUCCUCCGCCGCACUAUCGGGGUUUGAGGUCCCCGAUCCUGCCGGCACCAUCGUAACUGGCACGACCGCCGCGACCACACCCUCGGCCGCACUCGGCACCACUGCAGGAGGCGCAGAGUGCACGGCCUCCACGGGCGCCGCCGCCACCUGCUGCCGCUCCAAGGCCUCCUGGAGCCUUUGGAUUUGCUCCCCUUGGUGCUGAAUGGAUUCCGCCUGCUGCCGCACUAUGCCAAUAAGCGCGGCCAUCUGCUCCCGAAGCUCCCGGUCGCCACCUGCUCCGGGUUGCACGGGAGCCGUACUUGACUCCUGGGCCAUAGAUCUCGUCCGCGGUCGACCACGAGGUAGCUUAGGUCGUCCACGAGGCGGCAUUGCUUCAUGAAACGAAGCAACUCACGUUAGUUACUUAGACAGUAUACUCGAUUAUACCCAAUUCGGCGAAAGCAUAUAAGUGCAUUUAUUUUCAUUCCAAAGCGUUUUGUCGUCGGCCGCCGAUCACAACACAAGGAAAAGCAAACGAAUAACAACUUAAGUUCAGUCCCUAACCACAUUAGAGACAUAAUUACAUCGAUCCAAUCCAUGCCUUCGCUAAAACUUAUUCAGUGUCGCUCACGUUUCCUAGAUCCUUAAGGUUCUCCAUUCCUAAGGGUCUCUAGGUCCAUCCUAUGCUUUCACUUUCUGGCUCUUUACGCUCGGAUACCAUCUUAUCUGUCAUGCCCCGAGCCCGAUCCUUUUGGCCGGUUCGAGAGUGUCGAACAGACGCCGAACGGACAGAACCUCCCCUGACCGCUCAAGGCUCAACAACAAGUAUCAAUAGAAUAUAAAGUUUGCAUAAGCGGAAGCAUACACAAUGGCUUGCACGAGGGCAAGCAAUAGCCAUUAGUGAAAGAAUCUACUAAAUCAUCAUACAAGUAUUUGACUAGAUUUAAAUCACAUACAUGCAUUCGACUUUAAUACAACUUUGCAUUAUUUCUUUUAUACAUCACAAGUUCUUCAAAAUAUGAUUCUUUUUCCAUUUACAUAAAUAAAGUCUUCUACAUCAUUCCUUUAACAUGAUCACAAUAUUAACAUCAUCAAGUACAAAAGAUGAUAAUAAGGGGUAUGCAACUAUGAAAAUAAAACAUCUCGGGCGGUCUCUACCUAGGGCGUGAUGCACUUACCGCGAUCGCCUGCCUGCUCGCUCGGUCCUGGCUCUGUGGAAAGAGUGGGUGUGAGAACUACAACAAAGUUUCCAGUGGGUUCGGCAACCAACCACGCCGACUAUCCCACUAGGUCUAAUCAGGCAUAAUAGAAUAGAAGAAAUAAAGUAACCAACUAACAAUGCAACUAAUAUGCCUGAACAAUAUAAAAUGCGAUGCUCGAAAUAAUGCUCAUGAUGAAUGCAAGAUCAUAAUUUCUUUACACAAUCUCUUGGCUAACCUGUAGGUUUCGCCUUCAACAAACUCACCACCCAAAAUCCUAUCAACCAGGGAGAUACCCGCCACAACCCGAUAGGACCGUUCUCUUGGGAGAUACCCGCUACAACCCAGUGAUGUCGAUUCCGGAGCACAUCGCCCGAGGGAGAGCUACCACCCUUGAGCAAGGACUAAAGGUGAGUACGAUGAAUCCUACAUUGAGGAUUCCAAGUUCAAUCCAUUCCUUAACUUUAAAGAAGACCAUGCUCAAUGACCCUUAACUCUAAGGUUGCAAUGUCAUAAUAUCUCAAUCAUUCUUUUCUUUGCAUUCUUUACCAACACUAGUGUCAUAUACACUACCAAGUUCUUGUACUCAUGCCACACUUGUUUUCUAAGUGCUAUGUUCUUGUUCUCAUGCCAAAUGUCACACUUAUUUUUCUAAGUGUUCUAGACUCAUCAAUAUCACUCGCAAGAUCUAUGUCCAUGUGUCACUUUUGUUCACUAAUCCUUCUAG
Molecule: long non-coding RNA, 7477 nt
Filed under: Ananas comosus (pineapple)
Lineage: Eukaryota; Viridiplantae; Streptophyta; Magnoliopsida; Poales; Bromeliaceae
Description: long non-coding RNA (ACOM_LNC010416)
Source: RNAcentral